AGAUUGAACGCUGGCGGCAGGCCUAACACAUGCAAGUCGAGCGGUAGAGAGGUGCUUGCACCUCUUGAGAGCGGCGGACGGGUGAGUAAUGCCUAGGAAUCUGCCUAGUGGGUGGGGGAUAACGUUCGGAAACGGACGC
This 139-nucleotide ribosomal RNA is filed under the name uncultured soil bacterium. RNAcentral describes it as "partial 16S ribosomal RNA". It matches the Rfam family "Bacterial small subunit ribosomal RNA", at positions 26 to 163 of the family's 1533-position model. The record is from RNAcentral.